AUGGAUGUCGUCAGCUCGUGUCAUGAGAUGUUGGGUUAAGUCCCGCAACGAGCGCAACCCUUGCCAUUAGUUGCUACGAAAGGGCACUCUAAUGGGACUGCCGGUGACAAACCGGAGGAAGGUGGGGAUGACGUCAAGUCCUCAUGGCCCUUAUAGGUGGGGCUACACACGUCAUACAAUGGCUGGUACAGAGGGUUGCCAACCCGCGAGGGGGAGCUAAUCCCAUAAAGCCAGUCGUAGUCCGGAUCGCAGUCUGCAACUCGACUGC
RNAcentral lists this ribosomal RNA (268 nucleotides) under uncultured bacterium. RNAcentral's name for it is "partial 16S ribosomal RNA". It matches the Rfam family "Bacterial small subunit ribosomal RNA", at positions 1045 to 1319 of the family's 1533-position model. The record is from RNAcentral.